UAAAUCGGUAAAACGGAAGUAAAAACGAAGAGCCGUCCAAAAAGGUCUGACACUUUUUACGUGAAACGCUUUUGGCCUACUAUUGCUGUUUAUCUUACUUUAUUUGAAAUGAAUGAUAUGCACCAUUCAAAAGAUUACUUUGAAAAUGACUGUAAAGUUGUUGCAAGGAACAGGACAGAUCUAUUACAAGCCUUUAAAUUGUCGUUUUUUGCCAUGAGCCGUUUUCCUACUUUCCCUUGGAACCUCCUUCAAACCGAACUUAAGAAGGACAAAUCAUCCGAGUUGAUUUCAGAUAUUUUAAAGCAGACAUGCCUUCAUUCGCUGUGUAUCAAACACCCACCAUCAGUCAAAUACAGAAGACUAUUCCUUACCGAACUGAUCAAAAGGCAUGAAGCUACUGAGUCAGAACGUUUGGAUGAGCUCUACGACGCCUUGGGUGAAGUCCUUGGUGCUGAGGAGAGAUCUGAGUGCUUCAAAAGCUAUUUACUGCCAUGUGGUGAAGCUCUAAGCCUGUUAGAGAGUGUGGCGGUGAUCUCAGAAGGCACCACUGGGCUGGUCACGUGGGAGGCUGCCCUCUACCUGGCAGAGUGGGCACUGGACAACCCCCACAUCUUUAUGGGCAGGACUAUCCUUGAACUUGGCAGUGGAGUGGGGUUGACAGGAAUUGCAGUGUGUCGCUCCUGUAGGCCCUUCAGAUAUGUGUUCAGUGACUGUCACAGCAGUGUACUGCACAAACUGCAGGAAAAUGUUCAGCUAAAUGGACUGUCUAAGCAAAAUCCUCCCAGAGUUUCCGUGGAAGAAUUGGACUGGGCGGCAGUGACAACGGAGCAGCUGAGGGAGAUAGGUGCCAACACUGUCAUUGCUACAGAUGUGGUUUACGACCCUGAUAUCAUUUCUUGCCUGGUGAAGCUCCUUACCAAGGUCUUGAGGUGCAUGUCCCCUGGUAGCCCUCCAGAGGUCAUCAUCUCCUCAACCAUCAGAAACCCAGACACAUACAAGUGCUUCAUGGAUAAACUUGGACGAAAGAGAACCACGACGUGGAGGAAGAACAUGCACUUUCACAGCCGAACAGGAGACUGACAUUGUGAAAAUGGUUCGUGAAAACAGCACUAUCACACUCCGACAGAUACAAACCAGGAUCCUGGGUGACCAUGCCACAUUCAGAAAGAUCCAGACCAUCAGCCUCUCUACACUGUACCGUGUUCUCUGCAGGAAUGCCAUGCGGAUGAAACACGUGUACAGGGUCCUAUUCGACCGGAACACAGACUACAUCAAGGAUUUACGGCAAGAGUUUCAGAUCCAGGAGCAUGACACAGCUAAUGAUCUAUAUGAAUACACAUUCAUUGAUGAGGUUGGAUUCAACCCGGUGAAGAGGAGGCGCCGGGGCAGAAAUGUCAGUGGCCAGCGCACUAUUGUUGAGGUCCCCGCCAAGCGUGGUGGUAACAUCACUUUGUGUGCUGCAAUGGGUUGAGCAGUUGACAGUACUGUACUAUUUAAAAAAUA
Hypomesus transpacificus is the source of this 1503-nucleotide RNA transcript. It is a transcript of the gene named eukaryotic elongation factor 2 lysine methyltransferase, with no coding region annotated. The record is from RefSeq and is a predicted model, not a curated record. NCBI's taxonomy places the organism in Eukaryota, Metazoa, Chordata, Actinopteri, Osmeriformes, Osmeridae. The transcript is spliced from 9 exons.